This 375-nucleotide ribosomal RNA is filed under the name uncultured bacterium. Its description in RNAcentral is "bacterial SSU rRNA". It matches the Rfam family "Bacterial small subunit ribosomal RNA", at positions 524 to 898 of the family's 1533-position model. The record is from RNAcentral.
UACGAAGGGGGCUAGCGUUGUUCGGAAUUACUGGGCGUAAAGGGCGCGUAGGCGGCCUUGAUAGUUGGGCGUGAAAGGCCUGGGCUUAACCCAGGAACUGCGUUCAAUACUGUAAGGCUAGAGUGUGGGAGAGGUUGGUGGAAUUCCCAGUGUAGAGGUGAAAUUCGUAGAUAUUGGGAAGAACACCGGUGGCGAAGGCGGCCAACUGGACCACAACUGACGCUGAGGCGCGAAAGCGUGGGGAGCAAACAGGAUUAGAUACCCUGGUAGUCCACGCUGUAAACUAUGUGUGCUUGACGCUGGGGGGCAUAGCCCUUCGGUGUCGUAGCUAACGCGGUAAGCACACCGCCUGGGGAGUACGGUCGCAAGAUUAAA